Long non-coding RNA from Arachis duranensis, 1260 nucleotides. RefSeq lists it as uncharacterized. The record is from RefSeq and is a predicted model, not a curated record. Lineage: Eukaryota; Viridiplantae; Streptophyta; Magnoliopsida; Fabales; Fabaceae. The transcript has 3 exons.
CUCACUUUUCCCACUCUCAGCCGCCGCACAACACACACACAGCUCCACCAUGCACGUAGAGGAAAAUCAGAAGAAGAAGAUAGAUAGCGCCGGUAGGUAUCACUGCCAUCGUUGUCGCCGUCGUUGUGGGGUGAGAGGCAAGUGUUGAAAGAGACUCAACCGCACAUAAUAGAAGAGAGAGCUUGCGAGGGAGAGGAGACACUGCUGUUGCAGCUUCGUUGUCAUCGCCGAUGCUGAUGUUGUCGCCAAAGCUUACCGUGACGCCGUCAAUCUGCUAUCACUAUCACCGAGGAACUCGCGCAAGUGAGAGGGAGUUGCUACCAUUGAAAAUGCGAGCAAGUGGAGUUUUGUCUCAUCACCACCGCUAUUGUCAGUGGCUGUUUCCGCCGUUGCGCCUUGCUGCUACCAUGGCCAUCGCUCUUUCCACUGCUGCCGUGGUUGCCGCUGCACAUGGUUCACCGUGGAGAGGAGCCGAGGAGAGAAUGAGCAGAACGUGAGGAAGAGGACGGGUUCUUGUCGCCGCUAUGCACCCAGUUGCCGCUGAUGCCGCCGGCGCUACCGCUGCAAGCUUCCCCUGCUGUUUGGUUCUAGCUCGGUUGAAAUCUCCUGUGUAAGCUUUAUUCUAAGUGGUUUCUGGUUCACGCCGAUUCUGUCCUUGCUAGUGAGGGUCACUGGAGUUGUUGCGCUCCAUUUUCUUAUUCCUCUUAAUUUCAGUAAGUUGCUUUUGCUCCGAAAAAUCUUUUUAAUAGUUAUUCCGUUAUAUGUUGUUGGGAUUUUUGCGGCAUUAUUGCCAUGGGGUUGAGUUUCAAUUCUUGCAUAUCGCAUUUGGAAUUGAUGUUGUUGUUGCGGGAGCGAUAUGGAGCUGUGGUUGCGGCUGCCGCUGCUGCGGGCUGGGAGAUGAAUGAUUUUGUCUCGUAGUUAAGUUGCGAUCAAGGUAGAGGCACACUCCUUCGAUGUGGAAAGGCACUCUCCUUCGUAAUUCCUCCAGGAGAAUGUGGAAAGACACACUCCUACGAUGUGGAAAGGCACUCUCUUUCGUUUGUGUUCCUCCUGGGGAUGCACAAUUUAGAGACGAUGUUCAGACUUCUCUUUUCAGGAUGGACGAGAAAGCUGAUGAAGUUUUUGCUAAGUCCUUAGCUGUACUGUUUCUGUUUGUAUAUAUAUUAGUCAUAGUUUUUUCCUUGCCUUUGUCAUUAUAAUUGUGUAAGAGGGAUAGGAGUUGUGUAUUUUGUAUUUAUAUAAUAUUUAUAAGUUACUUGU